Molecule: long non-coding RNA, 721 nt
Organism: Cydia amplana
Lineage: Eukaryota; Metazoa; Arthropoda; Insecta; Lepidoptera; Tortricidae
Exons: 4
Source: RefSeq, a predicted model, not a curated record
UACGUAUUUUAUUAGCCGGGCACGUGAGGAGUUGUUUGUGUCAUAUAGGAAUAGCGUGGACUUGAGCCCUCCCUCUCGGAAUUCGCGCUGCAGUAGAGGGUACUUGAGACUCUGGCGAUGUGAUCCGAGCGGCGAUAUUCGCGGGCGCGGGACUCCGCUCGCUGCAUCCCUCUUGCUCCCGGUCGCGGCGCGCGGCGAGCGGCGCUCGGCGGGCGGGAGGCGCCCGGCGUCACUCACGUCGACUCGGUCUCCUCGGUCGUGUGUCCGAACCUCUCCUGUCCGCGACGUGCGAUCUCUCCGAACCCUACCGGUACUAACGUACACGCCGCGUCCUAGACGCGACUCUUAACAACAUAUCCCUAGCGCUUAACCCUUCACAGACCCGUUAACCUGGGCUCCGUAGUAACGGUCUGUAUUCUUUCAAAGUUCUUGAGUUUCGAAGUUUUCUCUCAGUGUUGCGGACUAUCUAAAUACAACGCGUCAGCGUUUAAACUUAAAGGGCUUGUGUCCUACCGUAAAUAAAGGAUUAUUUGGAUUGACGGAAAGUGUCUGAACUUCUGAGGUGAAGCGAGCUGCCUUCGCGUUCCAUUUGCAUCUGUCAAACAGAUUGUUGGUACAUCGUAACAAAGAAAUCAUCUGCGAGAUAAUAUUGAAUGCAGCGUUAAAUUUGUGGCAUCACGCAGAUUUCUCUGAAACUAUAACACGUGCCCUAAAGGAUAUU